UCGAUUAAAAUAUAAAAUAAAUGAUUUUAUACAUAAGCGUGACGAAGAAGGUGAGUACACAAAUGGAUAUAACAACGACCAUAACAAUAGUUUAGGUGUGUAUAAUGUUACUGUGACUCCUGAUACUGUGACAGGUGCUACUACAACUGCUGCCACCACAACUACUGCCACCACAACUGCUGCCACCACAACUGCUGCCACCACAACUACUGCCACCACAACUUCUACCACUGCCUACCACGACUGUAGAGACCAAACCAAUAACAUUAACUAUGAUGAGUAUAAGCAUAUCAUUCGAUAUAUACUCCCUAAUAUGACUGAAAACAAAAUAAAAUAUUCAUGGUGUGUUAUAAAAAGCAAUUUAAAUAUAAAGAAUGAUCAGGUUAAUUAUAAAGAAUUAUUUAAUUACAUAAAUAAACAAUCAGAAAAUGAUAAGAGUGUAUAUGUUAGUAAAAUUGUAGCUAGCAAAUUAAAAAAUAAACUAAUAAAUUAUCAAUUUAAUCCAUCAGAUGUUAAUUUGAAAACAAUAAAUUAUAUUGAUAAUAUCCGCUUAAAGGCUACCGAGUUUUCAAAACAGUUUAAACAAAUAAUAACAGAAAACGAGCUUAACGAAUUUUUUAAAGGUAAAGAAAAAAUCAGUAUACAACAACUUGAGAAUGAUAUUCUAAAUAUAAUUAAUGAAAGGGUAAAGUCUAAGGAAGAAACGACACAUGAUAGUUUAGGAAGUGCUUCCAUAACAAAUGACGCCCCAAAAUAUGAUAAAAAACUAAUAGAUAAUAAAGUACAAAAAAACAGAGAAACUGAAGCAUUCACAGAUUUUAACAUAAAAGCUUAUAUAUCCAUUUUAUUAAAAAAUAAAAAUGAUGAAGUGUUGGUAAAGCACUUUAUAGAUAAUUUAGAUGUCGACUAUUUAAAAUUAAAUUUUGAAAAUAAACCAAUAAAAGAUGCUUAUGAUGCAUAUACAAGAAAUAUACCACCUACAGAAGUACAUAAUGAUACCUAUAAAAAUGAAUUAAGUUAUGAUGAAAUAAAAAGAGCUGAAUAUUUAAUCGAAGAAAUUGAUUAUUCUAUAAGAAACAAUACGAAAGGUGUAUAUAUAGACACGAACAAAUCUAAUCAGAGCACAAAUGCUACUAAUACUUAUUCAAUAAAAGACUCUGACUAUUCCUAUAUGUCGAUGUAUGAAAUUUUUAAAAGGAUAGAUGUAGAUAAAGAUAGUUAUAUAACCAAAAAUGAUAUAGAAAAAAGCUUGAAGAAUUUAAAAAUUAAAAAUAUAACAGAUGAUGAUGUAACAAUAUUUUUAAAAUACAUUGAUACACAAAGAAAAGGAUAUAUAGAUGUAAAUGAUUUUUUAUCUCAAUAUCAACUAGAAGAUAAAUCGAUGAAUACUUGGAUAAAAAAUACAAACAAACCUUAUUUUAAUUUUAUUAAAAAUUUAAAAAAUGAACAACAACAAAAAACUAACAAUUACUCGAAGCAAAAAAAUAAGCAAAGGUCUAGUAGUACAAAUAUUAUGCAUAACAAAAAUGUAGAAUUAGCAGAGCAAUAUAAUGAUGUAAUCAAAAACUAUAAUCUACAAUUAGACCAAUUUUGUCCCUCUUAUGUUAUUAGAGAAAGAAUAAGAAAAAAUUUUAUAGCAAAUAAAGAUGAUUUUUUAAAUAAACAUAAAAAUGC
Molecule: long non-coding RNA, 1674 nt
Filed under: Piliocolobus tephrosceles (Ugandan red Colobus)
Lineage: Eukaryota; Metazoa; Chordata; Mammalia; Primates; Cercopithecidae
Description: lncRNA (ENSPTEG00000009251.1)
Source: RNAcentral